Molecule: long non-coding RNA, 249 nt
Organism: Talpa occidentalis (Iberian mole)
Lineage: Eukaryota; Metazoa; Chordata; Mammalia; Eulipotyphla; Talpidae
Exons: 3
Source: RefSeq, a predicted model, not a curated record
CCAGGUCGUCGGAUCGGGCACAGGUUAUGAAAAACAAGUCAACUUCCAAGUCUGUGAGAGGAUUAUUAUAUCCUGGGCAGCCUGGAUAUAUUGCUUACAAAUUUCAGGAGGGCCUGGAAUGGGACAUGAUGUCUCAAAUAGUGCCCAGAGACUCAAUUGGCUCAGUCAGUAACUAUAACAUGAAGGUCAAGAAAAGAAAGGUCAGAAGGAAUUACCGGAUCAGUAUUUGCAUCUACAUAAAGACAGCAA